This 374-nucleotide ribosomal RNA is filed under the name Paracoccaceae bacterium. RNAcentral's name for it is "bacterial SSU rRNA". It matches the Rfam family "Bacterial small subunit ribosomal RNA", at positions 1 to 391 of the family's 1533-position model. Lineage: Bacteria; Pseudomonadati; Pseudomonadota; Alphaproteobacteria; Rhodobacterales; Paracoccaceae. The record is from RNAcentral.
CAACUUGAGAGUUUGAUCCUGGCUCAGAACGAACGCUGGCGGCAGGCCUAACACAUGCAAGUCGAGCGCACUUAUGACCUUCGGGUUAUAGGCGAGCGGCGGACGGGUUAGUAACGCGUGGGAACGUACCCUUUACUACGGAAUAGCCUUUGGAAACGAAGAGUAAUACCGUAUACGCCCUUUGGGGGAAAGAUUUAUCGGUAAAGGAUCGGCCCGCGUAAGAUUAGAUAGUUGGUGGGGUAAUGGCCUACCAAGUCUACGAUCUUUAGCUGGUUUGAGAGGAUGAUCAGCAACACUGGGACUGAGACACGGCCCAGACUCCUACGGGAGGCAGCAGUGGGGAAUCUUAGACAAUGGGCGCAAGCCUGAUCUAG